AUGACCCUACGGGGGGCAGCAGUGAGGAAUAUUGGUCAAUGGGCGGGAGCCUGAACCAGCCAAGUCGCGUGAGGGAAGACGGUCCUAUGGAUUGUAAACCUCUUUAGGCGGGGAGCAAUGCCGGGCACGUGUGCCCGGAGGGAGAGUACCCGCAGAAUAAGCAUCGGCUAACUCCGUGCCAGCAGCCGCGGUAAUACGUAGGUGGCAAGCGUUGUCCGGAUUUAUUGGGCGUAAAGCGAGUGCAGGCGGUUCAAUAAGUCUGUUGUGUAAGCCUUCGGCUCAACCGGAGAAUUGCCUCAGAAACU
RNAcentral lists this ribosomal RNA (305 nucleotides) under uncultured bacterium. RNAcentral's name for it is "bacterial SSU rRNA". It matches the Rfam family "Bacterial small subunit ribosomal RNA", at positions 333 to 634 of the family's 1533-position model. The record is from RNAcentral.